CAAGGGGGCACCAGCUCAGGACUGCAUCUGCCUGCCAUUUCCCUUCCACUCCUCCUUUCUGGAGUCUGACAUUAGAAAGCCAGCGAGAAGGAAGAUUCAAACAACCAACCCUGAUUUCCUGCUUCUCCUUUUCAUGAGUGUUCCUGUGGUCUCUGCACCUCCUUUCUGCGACACACCCAACCAUGUCUACCUGACUCUCCGUCAAUUCCCGUUUCUCCCACUGAGCUAUUGCUUCAGCAUCAUGACCAGAGCAGAC
This 256-nucleotide long non-coding RNA is filed under the name Homo sapiens (human). RNAcentral's name for it is "HSALNT0129424". Lineage: Eukaryota; Metazoa; Chordata; Mammalia; Primates; Hominidae. The record is from RNAcentral.